ACUGCAUUUAUUAGGAAUACACUGUAAGGUUACAGGCAGUGUGGGUGUGGAUUUUGACUGUAUUUGAAGUUUUCUUACCUUGAAACUUACUUAGCACUUGUAAACCUAUACCAUAGAGUUUAGCCUUUAUUUCCUCUUGAGACUUGAAAAUCCUACACCAUCUAGUGUAGUGCUAAUCCUAAAGAAAACCAACGAUUAAGUGUUAAUUGUUGAUUGGUAUCACCCUAUGAUCAAUUGUUUUCACCCUAAGGCUCAAGUGAAACCAAACGGUUGGUCACUUUUUCGAUUUAGUAUUUUUUCAAUUUCUUAGAUCUCAGGAUAUUUUUAGUAGAUUUUGGAUGAGACAACAAGGAUCUCUGACGACCAUCAUUCUCAGAAAAUAUCUGGCAUCACCUCAAAUCUGGAUUUCGAACAUUACAGAGGGAUGAAUGAGGAGCAGUACCACUGGACUGAGGGCCUGGCCCACUUUGCCAUCUUGGUAUUCUUAAUCUUUGUCCUAGUUCCUGGCACGAUAAGAAUUUUCAAAUAAAUAAAUAAUUUUUGUAUUAAAAAAGUAGUAUUUAGAACCGAAUAUCUUCUAUAAUAUAGAAAAUUGAGUCAGCUUUCCCAGUAAUGAUUCUUUAAGUUGGCCUUCUGAAAUAUGAGAAAAUGUUACCCUGAUAGUCUCGAUGAUAUUUUGCACCAUGGGUAGGGUUGUAAUUUAAAGUUAAAUGACUACAUAUAUUGUUUUUUGUUUUUGUCGAGGGACCUGAGAUGGGGCUAAUUGAAAACGUCUGGAGCUUAAAGACCCGUGCAGUUUACGCAGCAAGGAUAUUAUUGCUCUGAAUUUCAAUAAAUCAACAUUUCACUAUAUAUCGGCAAAGUCUACAGCCUUUAAAAAAUGACCAAUAUAGACGGAAUCAAAACCGAUUUAGUCCCAAAGCGGCACAGAGCUGUAUCUGCCAAAGCGUCCAUUUAAAUUCGUGCGUUCCAAGGAAAAUUACUGCUUAGUUUCUAUCCAUUUGCAAAAGUUUAUGAUUUUUUCAGGCAUUCCUCACACCUGUUAGGUUAAAAUCAGUAACACUCUUAAAAAGAAAGCGAGAGACCGGAAAUGAUAUGAGAAUAGAAUUGGCCACUCCAGAGACAUCUGCAAAUGACACUCCAUUUUUUCUUCUCGCGCUGCAAAAUGUACCGGUAAACCGGACUUUCCGGGACUCGCUGGGUGGCCGACAUUUUCCCUAGCAGGAAUUUUACGUUUCCAAGAUCUCAAUGGAUGUUAACGGUCGGGCUAAAUGCCAGGCAGGUCUUCAUUGUCGAAUUAAACAGCGGUGGGAGCAAGCGGAAUAACCGAGUUCCCCUCCCGCACCUGAGUGCCGGCAGCGAGCCGCGAGCCGGGACCUGUCACCCGCGGGAAGCCCCGGCCGCCCGACGAACAGCAUCUCCGGUUUCCGCCUCCGGCUCCGGCGCGGCUCCCCCGGCCCGCCUCUGCGUCAGGGACGCGGAAACCCCGUAGGAGCAGGGCGGGCGGGGAAAGCGAGGUUUAACUAACUCCGCAGCGAUAUUCUUCCGCCGCGAGGUAAAGAGUCCAAACCCAACCCCGGGCCCUAGGAUUUCCAGCGACCUGUAAUAUCGAGAAAUUACCACAUUUGGAUUUUUCUACCAACUUGCUUAGGAUUUUAUCCGAGGUAACGACCCCAGGAUCACAAUUUUGUAGCUGACCGAAGCACGGCGAGAAAAUUCCUCCGCAAGAAACGGGUUCCGGCCACGAGCCUAUAAAAAACGGGUGGCUGGGCGCUGCUGUCUUUUCAGUCGGGCGCCGAGUGGUUUUUCGGAUCAUGUCUGGUGGCUCCGCGGAUUAUAACAGCAGAGAACAUGGCGGCCCAGAGGGAAUGGACCCCGAUGGUGUCAUCGAGAGCAACUGGAAUGAGAUUGUUGAUAACUUUGAUGAUAUGAAUUUAAAGGAGUCUCUCCUUCGUGGCAUCUAUGCUUACGGUUUUGAGAAGCCUUCCGCUAUUCAGCAGAGAGCUAUUAUUCCCUGUAUUAAAGGGUAUGAUGUGAUUGCUCAAGCUCAGUCAGGUACUGGCAAGACAGCCACAUUUGCUAUUUCCAUCCUGCAACAGUUGGAGAUUGAGUUCAAGGAGACCCAAGCACUAGUAUUGGCCCCCACCAGAGAACUGGCUCAACAGAUCCAAAAGGUAAUUCUGGCACUUGGAGACUAUAUGGGAGCCACUUGUCAUGCCUGCAUUGGUGGAACAAAUGUUCGAAAUGAAAUGCAAAAACUGCAGGCUGAAGCACCACAUAUUGUUGUUGGUACACCCGGGAGAGUGUUUGAUAUGUUAAACAGAAGAUACCUUUCUCCAAAAUGGAUCAAAAUGUUUGUUUUGGAUGAAGCAGAUGAAAUGUUGAGCCGUGGUUUUAAGGAUCAAAUCUAUGAGAUUUUCCAAAAACUAAACACAAGUAUUCAGGUUGUGUUGCUUUCUGCCACAAUGCCAACUGAUGUGUUGGAAGUGACCAAAAAAUUCAUGAGAGAUCCAAUUCGAAUUCUGGUGAAAAAGGAAGAAUUGACCCUUGAAGGAAUCAAACAGUUUUAUAUUAAUGUUGAGAGAGAGGAAUGGAAGUUGGAUACACUUUGUGACUUGUACGAGACACUGACCAUUACACAGGCUGUUAUUUUUCUCAAUACGAGGCGCAAGGUGGACUGGCUGACUGAGAAAAUGCAUGCCAGAGACUUCACAGUUUCUGCUCUGCAUGGUGACAUGGACCAGAAGGAGAGAGAUGUUAUCAUGAGGGAAUUCCGGUCAGGGUCAAGUCGUGUUCUGAUCACUACUGACUUGUUGGCUCGCGGGAUUGAUGUGCAACAAGUGUCUUUGGUUAUAAAUUAUGAUCUACCUACCAAUCGUGAAAACUAUAUUCACAGGAGUCGAUAGCAGCAGUUGAUGACGAGAUGGCACUCAGAAACGGCGUUGACGUAAUUUAGGACGUGGAAUCAUAAGCGAAACAGCACACUGUUUGAAUAAAGAGCGAGUCGAAUUGGCAGAGGGGGUCGAUUUGGGAGGAAAGGUGUGGCUAUAAACUUUGUUACUGAAGAAGACAAGAGGAUUCUUCGUGACAUUGAGACUUUCUACAAUACUACAGUGGAGGAGAUGCCCAUGAAUGUGGCUGACCUUAUUUAAUUCCUGGGAUGAGAGUUUUGGAUGCAGUGCUCGCUGUUGCUGAAUAGGCGAUCACAACGUGCAUUGUGCUUCUUUCUUUGGGAAUAUUUGAAUCUUGUCUCAAUGCUCAUAACGGAUCAGAAAUACAGAUUUUGAUAGCAAAGCGACGUUAGUCGUGAGCUCUUGUGAGGAAAGUCAUUGGCUUUAUCCUCUUUAGAGUUAGACUGUUGGGGUGGGUAUAAAAGAUGGGGUCUGUAAAAUCUUUCUUUCUUAGAAAUUUAUUUCCUAGUUCUGUAGAAAUGGUUGUAUUAGAUGUUCUCUAUCAUUUAAUAAUAUACUUGUGGACUAAAAGAUAUAAGUGCUGUAUAAAAUCAGCCAAUUAUGUUAAACUAGCAUAUCUGCCUUUAUUGUGUUUGUCAUUAGCCUGAGUAGAAAGGCCUCUAAAAUUUUUUUAGAAAGCAUUUGAAUGCAUUUUGUUUGGUAUUGUAUUUAUUCAAUAAAGUAUUUAAUUAGUGCUAAGUGUGAACUGGACCCUGUUGCUAAGCCCCAGCAAGCAAUCAUCCUAGGUAGGGUUUAAUCCCCAGUAAAAUUGCCAUAUUGCACAUGUCUUAAUGAAAUUUGAAUGUUAAAUAAAUUGUAUAUUCACUUUAAA
Molecule: RNA transcript, 3783 nt
Organism: Pan troglodytes (chimpanzee)
Lineage: Eukaryota; Metazoa; Chordata; Mammalia; Primates; Hominidae
Gene: EIF4A2
Gene name: eukaryotic translation initiation factor 4A2
Exons: 12
Source: RefSeq, marked provisional